This 797-nucleotide ribosomal RNA is filed under the name Dendropsophus sarayacuensis (Shreve's Sarayacu treefrog). RNAcentral describes it as "partial 16S ribosomal RNA". The record is from RNAcentral. Lineage: Eukaryota; Metazoa; Chordata; Amphibia; Anura; Hylidae.
GCGGCUGCACCACUGGGAUACCCUGAUCCAACAUCGAGGUCGUAAACCCACUUGUCGAUAAGGGCUCUUGAAGUGGAUUGCGCUGUUAUCCCUAGGGUAACUUGGUUCGUUGUUCAAAAUAUUGGGUCAAUUUAUGUCAAUUUAUUGGUGCUUAAAGUCGUGGCUUUUAGUUCAAGAGUAGGUCCAUUCAUUGUGGAGGUUAAUUUUUACUCCGUGGUCACCCCAACCCAAAAUUAAUAGUCAGAAGGCUAGAAUAAGUGUAGGAUCCCAGGGGGUGUGUGAGAAAAAAGCCAGUGCUAUUUAGUUUGAAGCUCCAUAGGGUCUUCUCGUCUAAUAUUAAGAUUCCCGCUUCUUCACGGGAAGAUCAGUUUCAUUGAUUGGAAAAAGGAGACAGUGGAACCCUCGUGAUGCCAUUCAUACUAGUCCUCAUUUAAAGAACAAAUGAUUACGCUACCUUCGCACGGUUAGGAUACCGCGGCCGUUAAACUGGGUCACUGGGCAGGCUGGACCUCUUAUGGGGUACAAGAGGCGAUGUUUUUGGUAAACAGGCGGGGUUAAUACUUGCCGAGUUCCUUCUUUUUCUUUUAAUCUUUCUUGAAAUGUGCUAGUGUUAGGUUAACGUUAGGGACAACAGGGUUUUCUAGUGAAGUUGCUGUUUUGUAAUCAUAGACGUUAAUUAUCAGUGGUGGGUCCUUUCUGAUUUAUAUUUACAUUUAAGAGAAGGUCUUCUUCUUAUUACUAGUUUUAACAUAGUGGCUUCUAUAGAGUAUAUAGAAUAACUUAAUAUUAGUAAAGGG